RNAcentral lists this transfer RNA (75 nucleotides) under Halanaerobiaceae bacterium. RNAcentral describes it as "tRNA-Arg". It matches the Rfam family "tRNA". Rfam says of the family: Transfer RNA (tRNA) molecules are approximately 80 nucleotides in length. Lineage: Bacteria; Bacillati; Bacillota; Clostridia; Halanaerobiales; Halanaerobiaceae. The record is from RNAcentral.
GCCCCUGUAGCUCAGUGGAUAGAGCACUGGUCUCCGGAACCAGUUGCACAGGUUCAAUUCCUGUCAGGGGUACCA